ACUAGUGCGCCUGCGCGGAGUUUACUUGGUUACGCAGAAUUGGAGAUAAACAAACCCGCGGCCGCCAUCGUCCCCAGCGCCAGCGUAUGUCUCGAUUUCCAGCUUACACACGGCGUUACCGGUGGUGACCCGCCUUGGGCUGAGUUCCAACGAUGUUCUGGACCUAUCUUGCCUAAAAUAUCGCGAUAUCUUUAUCUUCAAGUGGAUUUACGUGUUACUUUCCCGACCUCAACAUGAAGCUGUGUGCAGUAGUGAAUUGCAGCAAUUCAACUUACCAUCUAGAAAAAUGGAAGAGACAUGCCAAAUACAUGGUACAAAAAGUGGACCAUUUUCCUAUGAGAAGAAAAAAACCUCAUGCUAGGAGAAGAGGGAAUAAACUUAUGAACAAGCUUGAAGCCAAACCCAGAUGGAAUAUACUAAAAAUACAAGUACACUUAGGUUCUGAAAUGGUUUCAUGAAAGUAUAUUGUAACCCGCACAUAAACAGUGCUGCAAAUUGUAAUCAUGACAGAUAUUUUAUGUACUGAAUUUUGAUAGUUCUGUGCAGUAAUACUGCUAAACUGGUACAGACUUUUAGUCUAACAAGGGUCUGCUGUAAAUAGAUUCAAUAUGAUUAUCUUUUCACUUAUUAACUUGAAUUAGUGGAAAAUAAUAUAUUUGAACAUGAUGUCAAGUCAUUAACACUAUAUUUACCACUUAAGAUACCUUUUUCCGCAUGCAGUUGAGAAAGCUGUGGUGAACUGGUGUAGUUGACUCCUUCGUGCCUGCACCACAGGUGCUCCCAGUGAUGGUCUAAGUACUAGUACUUAAGUUUAGAUCUUUUCCACUGACUGUUGACCAUAAGAUCAGGUGUAUGUAGAGAACUCCAGUCAUUUACACUACUUACAUCAAACACCUGACCCCUGCGUUUGGAUCUUGAAAGUGGAAUAUUUAAUUUGUAACUACUCUCUUGUUGUUUUUCUGACCAAACACAAGAAAAACAAGUCAGUUAACUGCAUCGACAGUACUACAUACUCACUCACAUUCACUAUCCGGUUUAUUGUCUAAAUACUAAAUAAUAUGUGCUAGACAGCAUAGGUUGUACGAUGGCGAUUACUAGAUUACUGUAAACAUUCACACUGUGAUAGAAAACAUACAAGCACCGUUAAACAUAAACUUACUGUGUUAACACACAAACAGCUCUGCAAUCAAAGUGAUGUAGAAAAUAUAAUGCCACAGCACUUGGCUCAGAUAGUUGAUGAAGACAGAUAUAGUUGAAAACUCAAAUUUCUUGAGUUGGAGAACAGUUUUUUUUAAAUAAAAUAUGUAACUUACCAACU
Long non-coding RNA from Branchiostoma belcheri (Belcher's lancelet), 1318 nucleotides. RefSeq lists it as uncharacterized. The transcript has 2 exons. The record is from RefSeq and is a predicted model, not a curated record. NCBI's taxonomy places the organism in Eukaryota, Metazoa, Chordata, Leptocardii, Amphioxiformes, Branchiostomatidae.